This is a long non-coding RNA of Schistocerca cancellata (South American locust), 1863 nucleotides long. RefSeq lists it as uncharacterized. The record is from RefSeq and is a predicted model, not a curated record. NCBI's taxonomy places the organism in Eukaryota, Metazoa, Arthropoda, Insecta, Orthoptera, Acrididae. The transcript is spliced from 2 exons.
UGUAAGUGAAUUUAUUUGGUGUGCUAUUUCAUUUUUACAAUUUUUUCCUGUCCAAAUGCUGUAACUUCACUCUGAUACAAGAUGACAACUGUACGUUUCUUCAGUACAAGGUCUUUGUCAUUAGCUUUAAAUGAGUUAGGUAGAGGACAGAUAAUGUUGGCAUUUAUAUUAGAAUUUAUAACUUUAUUAUCGGUCAUGUUUCCUCCAGUAUGUUCACAAUUAAAUCUUAAAUUCUGAGCAAGCUGAGUAUUUUUGUAUAUUUUGCAUAAUAUUAAAAGAAAAAAAAAAAAAAACACUUUACAUCGUCAGCUAAAAAAAAAUUCUGCCUUAACCAAAUAAUGGAUCAAUCAAACACUUGUUGCAAUAACCAGACUAUAAAGGAUAAACAUUUCAGAUAAAAUUGAUGUACACAAUACAGUCAAGGCAGCAAAAUACUGAAGCAAUGAACAGUUCAAAUGCACAAGAUACAGCUGUGCUGUGGCUUAAUACAGUACCACACAACUGAGAUGGAGAAAAAAGUAAGUACUAUCAUUUUACUUCAAACAAACUAUUAAAGCCACAGCUUCUAUAUAUUUUAAUGAAGAGGCUGAUUUGUGUUAUAUCAGCACCAGAAAAGUACAGUAAUAAUUUUUAUAUUAAUGGAGAAAAAAAAACUACAAUUUUUUUCUGGUAGAUGAUGCUGGAAGAACAGAAAGAAGUAACAAGAGACUGCAAAUAGUGUGGCCAUUGGAUAAUAGAAAGGAAUUACGUAACUGUACAUUCUUCUUUUAAAUAUUGUGAUCAGAUAAAACAAAACUUGUGGUAGUGCAACAAUGUAUGUAUCACCGGCACAAUUCAACAUGAACAUUAAUUAUGUUGGCUCUUAAAAGAGGCCCAGAUUCAUCUAAAAAAUUAGAUAAUCUUUUCUCAGUCAUAACACUAGUAUGCCUACACGUAUGCUCUGCUAAAUAUUAAAUGCAUUACAGGAAAAUGCUUUUGACACAAAUGAGUUUCCAAUCCUCGUGGGCAGACGAGGACAUGUUUUUGUACCUUGGAAGAUGAUGAUAAUAAACAUAGUUUUAACUGGCCCCCAGUCUUUCCCUAUGACAGCUCAGGUUUUACUGUAUCACAGUAAGAAAUCCUCACAGCAGCAAUAAAAUACUACUAUUCUUAGGCUGUUAACAGUUUGUCAAACACACGUUGAAAUAAAACUCAGUCAAAUACUUUAAGAUAAUAAAGAGAUCUCUAGAUGGAAAGAAUAUAAAUAAGAUAAACUUUUAUUUAAAAAAAAAAAAAACUGUAGCUGCAUUCCUUCACAGAAUUACUCAGAGAUGUAGAAGCAUAUUUCAUGUUAGGGACUUUGUGAAUCAUUAAGUUAUAGGUUUUAGGCUUUGAAUGGGUUGCUCAGUAGAGCACCCUGACUGAAAGCUUUGGUUCUGAAGGAAUAUCAUGACAAUGUAGAGUGUAGUAGAGACUGAAACGUAACCAAAUAAGCUAACAAAUAAAAGAAGAUUUUUUUUAAUUAUAAAAACAUUCACAAGUUCAACGUAACCAUAAAUCUCAUUGUACAAGAAUGUGGACACAGCAGUUUUCAAUAUCCUCAAGUAAACAUCUACCAUAUUGUACUUCACAUUCUUAUGUGAAAUCUAGAGAUUUCCUGUAUGAUGUAACCAACAGGAGAAGAAAAUUGAUUUUUGAAUCAUGAAGUCUGCCCGAUACUCUCAUUACACUGGAAUGCUAUCAAACAUCACAAACAACUGUACCCUUAUUAUCUUCAAUGUGAUUUUUUUUUCUUUCAAAGCCACUCAGUUCAUUAAGAAGAGGGUACACACAGUAGUUUUGUGCUCUAUUUACACUGCUCCUUUUGUUUUCAAGAGUUAAAAA